UACGUAGGGGGCAAGCGUUGUCCGGAUUUAUUGGGCGUAAAGAGCGUGUAGGCGGCCUGACAGGUCUGCUGUGAAAACUCGAGGCUCAACCUCGAGAUGUCGGCGGAAACCGUCUGGCUAGAGUCCGGAAGAGGAGAGUGGAAUUCCUGGUGUAGCGGUGAAAUGCGCAGAUAUCAGGAGGAACACCUAUUGCGAAGGCAGCUCGCUGGGACGUUACUGACGCUGAGACGCGAAAGCGUGGGGAGCAAACAGG
This 253-nucleotide ribosomal RNA is filed under the name uncultured bacterium. RNAcentral describes it as "partial 16S ribosomal RNA". It matches the Rfam family "Bacterial small subunit ribosomal RNA", at positions 524 to 776 of the family's 1533-position model. The record is from RNAcentral.